Molecule: ribosomal RNA, 553 nt
Filed under: uncultured fungus
Lineage: Eukaryota; Fungi
Description: eukaryotic LSU rRNA
Rfam family: 5.8S ribosomal RNA (bases 177-330)
Source: RNAcentral
CUUGGUCAUUUAGAGGAAGUAAAAGUCGUAACAAGGUUUCCGUAGGUGAACCUGCGGAAGGAUCAUUAGUGAACGCCCUCACGGGCUUAUAACUAUUCCAAACCUCUGUGAACCGUGCCCUUUGGGGCUAUUUUACAAACAUGGUGUAAUGAACGUCAUAUAUCAUAACAAAACAAAACUUUCAACAACGGAUCUCUUGGCUCUCGCAUCGAUGAAGAACGCAGCGAAAUGCGAUAAGUAAUGUGAAUUGCAGAAUUCAGUGAAUCAUCGAAUCUUUGAACGCACCUUGCGCCCUCUGGUAUUCCGGAGGGCAUGCCUGUUUGAGUGUCAUGUAGACUCAAUCCCUCGGGUUUCCGAGGAGAUUGGACUUGGGUGUUGCCGCUCUGCCGGCUCGCCUUAAAAGACUUAGCGGGAUAGCACCGUAGUCGGCGUAAUAAGUUUCGUCGGUGAAGGUUGUGAUGACUGCUUACAAUCGCCCUCGGGCAAUUUUUGACUCUGACCUCAAAUCAGGUAGGACUACCCGCUGAACUUAAGCAUAUCAAUAAGCGGAGGA